UACCUCUGGUGUACCAGUUGUCCUGCCAAGGGCAUGGCUGGGUAGCUAUGUACGGAAUGGAUAAGCGCUGAAAGCAUCUAAGCGCGAAGCCAACUUCAAGAUAAGAUUUCCCACCGCAAGGGUAAGACUCCAGAAAGACUAUCUGGUUGAUAGGUCGAAGGUGUAAGUGCAGCAAUGUAUUUAGCUUAUCGAUACUAAUAGGUCGAGGACUUGACCAAU
Molecule: ribosomal RNA, 219 nt
Filed under: Clostridioides difficile
Lineage: Bacteria; Bacillati; Bacillota; Clostridia; Peptostreptococcales; Peptostreptococcaceae
Description: partial 23S ribosomal RNA
Rfam family: Bacterial large subunit ribosomal RNA
Source: RNAcentral